CAAUAGCGUAUAUUAAAGUUGUUGCGGUUAAAAAGCUCGUAGUUGGAUUUCUGUCGAAGACUGCCGGUCCGCUCUAUGAGCGUGUAUCUGGUUAGGCUUUGGCAUCCUCUUGAAGAACGUUGCUGUGCUUAAUUGCAUGGUGCGGAAUUCAAGACUUUUACUUUGAGGAAAUUAGAGUGUUCACGGCAGGCAAGCGCCUUGAAUACAUUAGCAUGGAAUAAUAAGAUAGGACCUUGGUUCUAUUUUGUUGGUUUCUAGAGCUGAGGUAAUGAUUAAUAGGGAUAGUUGGGGGCAUUCGUAUUUAACUGUCAGAGGUGAAAUUCUUGGAUUUGUUGAAGACGGACUACUGCGAAGGCAUCUGCCAAAGAUGCUCUCAUUGAUCAAGAACGAAAGUUAGGGGAUCGAAGACG
RNAcentral lists this ribosomal RNA (410 nucleotides) under uncultured eukaryote. RNAcentral's name for it is "SSU rRNA". It matches the Rfam family "Eukaryotic small subunit ribosomal RNA", at positions 592 to 1006 of the family's 1831-position model. The record is from RNAcentral.